RNAcentral lists this long non-coding RNA (203 nucleotides) under Carica papaya (papaya). Its description in RNAcentral is "long non-coding RNA (CPAP_LNC013063)". The record is from RNAcentral. Lineage: Eukaryota; Viridiplantae; Streptophyta; Magnoliopsida; Brassicales; Caricaceae.
GGAGAAACAAAAACUCCUUAGAAAUAACAGUAAUUUUUUCAUUCUUUCCACUUAUGUAUUUUAUGCUUACAACCACUUCACAUUCUUUUCAUAGACAUGCUAUGUAACACCCCACUUACCACUGUGCUUAAUUUGUACUUGGAAAAUCCUAUUUAUUCGAUUCUUAAGGCCAUACUGAACUCGUUUAUUUUACACCAUAGAUU